Molecule: ribosomal RNA, 192 nt
Filed under: uncultured Flavobacterium sp.
Lineage: Bacteria; Pseudomonadati; Bacteroidota; Flavobacteriia; Flavobacteriales; Flavobacteriaceae
Description: partial 16S ribosomal RNA
Rfam family: Bacterial small subunit ribosomal RNA
Source: RNAcentral
ACUCCUACGGGAGGCAGCAGUAGGGAAUAUUGGUCAAUGGGGGCAACCCUGAACCAGCCAUGCCGCGUGCAGGACGACUGCCCUAUGGGUUGUAAACUGCUUUUGUUAGGGAAUAAACCCCACUACGUGUAGUGGGCUGAAUGUACCUAAAGAAUAAGGAUCGGCUAACUCCGUGCCAGCAGCCGCGGUAAU